Nycticebus coucang (slow loris) is the source of this 729-nucleotide long non-coding RNA. RefSeq lists it as uncharacterized. The transcript has 3 exons. Lineage: Eukaryota; Metazoa; Chordata; Mammalia; Primates; Lorisidae. The record is from RefSeq and is a predicted model, not a curated record.
CUUGAGCUGGUGGCUGGGGCUCGGGCCCGGGAGGGGGAGUGGGUGGAACUGUAGGUGCAGGUGCUUGAGGCCUUCAGCUUCCUAGCCCUUCUCAUCCCUUUUCCUUAUCGGGGCAAGGUUGCUGGAUCUCUUUAUUUUUCUGUCCAAAAAAUGAAUGUAACAGCUUUUUCUUCUCGAGGAAUGCGUGAGAGAAGGAGGCGAUAUCAUGAAAUGACCUGAGAGACGGAGGGGAGCUUGAAAGCGCAUCCAGUUGUCUCUUCCUUACGAGCACCCCGUGCCCUUUUUCCUUAUUUUACCGAUAAGAACAUUUUAGCCCCAGACUGGGGAGUUACUUGCUUAAAGUGGAUCCUGUAGUAAAGCCUUAAACGAUCUUUUUCACCUAAGUACGAAAAUUGUCUUUAAAAUGAUAUGUGAUUCAUUUUUCCAGCAACUGCCGAGGGUCCAUUUUUCUCCAUUUAACAGGAAAAACCUCAGACAGAGUCUCACUUUACCGCCCUCUGUAGAGUGCCAUGAUGUCACAGGACUCCCAACAACCUCCAGCUCUUGGGCUUCUGCGAUUCUCCUGCCUCAGCCUCCCGAGCAGCUGGGAACUACAGUCUGAAUGAAUGCACAGCAAGUAUCCAGAUUUCCACCAGUGAAGAGGGAGCUCAUGUUUGCUCAUCUAACUUAGAUUCCUAGACGGACCUAAGGAAGAAUAUUAAAAUUAAACCAAGGGUUUUGAAAUACAUA